Molecule: ribosomal RNA, 532 nt
Filed under: uncultured Gammaproteobacteria bacterium
Lineage: Bacteria; Pseudomonadati; Pseudomonadota; Gammaproteobacteria
Description: bacterial SSU rRNA
Rfam family: Bacterial small subunit ribosomal RNA
Source: RNAcentral
UGUGGUUUAAUUCGAAGCAACGCGAAGAACCUUACCAGGUCUUGACAUCCCUCUGAAUAUUCUAGAGGUAGAGUAGGCCUUCGGGACAGAGGAGACAGGUGGUGCAUGGUUGUCGUCAGCUCGUGUUGUGAGAUGUUGGGUUAAGUCCCGCAACGAGCGCAACCCUUGAUCUUUGUUGCCAGCACAUGAUGGUGGGCACUCUAAGAUGACUGCCGGUGACAAACCGGAGGAAGGUGGGGAUGACGUCAAAUCAUCAUGCCCCUUAUGACCUGGGCUACACACGUACUACAAUGGUCGGUACAGAGGGCCGCAAUACCGCGAGGUGGAGCAAAUCUCAGAAAGCCGAUCCCAGUUCGGAUUGUAGGCUGCAACUCGCCUACAUGAAGCCGGAAUUGCUAGUAAUCGCGGAUCAGCAUGCCGCGGUGAAUACGUUCCCGGGUCUUGUACACACCGCCCGUCACACCACGAGAGUUUACAACACCCGAAGUCGGUGAGGUAACCGCAAGGAGCCAGCCGCCGAAGGUGGGGUAGA